Molecule: signal recognition particle RNA, 100 nt
Filed under: Aminivibrio sp.
Lineage: Bacteria; Thermotogati; Synergistota; Synergistia; Synergistales; Aminobacteriaceae
Description: signal recognition particle sRNA small type
Rfam family: Bacterial small signal recognition particle RNA
About the family: The signal recognition particle (SRP) is a universally conserved ribonucleoprotein involved in the co-translational targeting of proteins to membranes.
Source: RNAcentral
AAUCCAGUCCCGUGCGGCGGAGACCUCCGAACCCUGUCAGGCCCGGAAGGGAGCAGCAGUAAGGAGAAUUCUCCGGGUGCCACGGGGGAGCUGGGUUUCC